AGUGUGCGUGUUUUUGUUUUGCUUUAGAAGCACCAGAAAUAAGGCUUGAUCCACAAAAAGAAGUAACAUUAGGAAGCAGUGUUACGAUCGACUGCGUCGCUGAGGGAGAUCCAACACCAGUAGUCAAACUGUACAGAAAUGGAGUAUUCAUAGAAGGGCAAGAAGCAGCGACUUUCUCGCCAAUAACACCCAAUCUUGGAGCCGCUAGAUACACUUUUACCGCUGUCCAAGGGUCAGGCGGACCUUACGAGUGUCGCGCAAACAAUGGAGUAGCGGACUCAAACGGAAACACUGAUAUAUCAAAAGUUAUAAAUAUCAUUAUAAUAGGUCCAACAAACCCAGUAACAAGAACGAAAACUGUCAAACCAGUGGACAACAAUAAUACGGGUUCUGGUUCAAACAGCCUGAGUGCUCUAUCCUUGUUUAUUAUUCUUUUACCUGUAGCCAUUGUAGCGUUCUUUUGCCAAUGAUGACAAUGUUACGAUUGAUCUAUCAUAAGACAAGUCUGUGACUGUGCCUGAAUUUGGCAUUGAAGAAACAAACACAGAUAUCAAAUGCGGUUAAAAAGGCAGAGAUCAAAUCUGAUGCUUACACGCUUGCAUGCUGGGGUUAAGGAUCAAGAUUAAAUGAAAAUAUUGGGGAUAUAUGGUAUAUAAAAGGAAUAUAUUUAUAUAUUUACCUAGUUAAACAUUAAUUAUUCAGAUAAACUUGUAAAUAGAUCAUCUGCCGUCUUGUCCACUAGCACUUGUAAAUUUACUAUUUAAUGUGGCUGUAGACUCGAAAGUUUUUACUAUUUCGACAGCCACGCACACCCAAACAUGAUUGUUAUUAU
Molecule: long non-coding RNA, 832 nt
Organism: Actinia tenebrosa (Australian red waratah sea anemone)
Lineage: Eukaryota; Metazoa; Cnidaria; Anthozoa; Actiniaria; Actiniidae
Source: RefSeq, a predicted model, not a curated record